AGAUCUGGUCAGAUCUGAAUUUGUCGAAUUAAACCAGGAGCUUGGAAGCGAAUUUUUGAAUGAACCCAAUUGGGGGAUAUUUGGUUUAUACCAUGGUGAUAAACGAGAGAGGCAAUUCCUAAGUUGUGAUGCACUCAUACCUUUACUAGAUGCGAACGAUUCCGGAGAAGAAGAAGAAGUGGUUCGGACAAGGAUUUUAUUUAUAUUGACGGGAUUCUUAUAUUGAUGAAGUUGAAGAAGUCCAGGGACAAAUAAGCCAAG
Lolium perenne is the source of this 261-nucleotide non-coding RNA. NCBI's taxonomy places the organism in Eukaryota, Viridiplantae, Streptophyta, Magnoliopsida, Poales, Poaceae. The record is from RefSeq and is a predicted model, not a curated record.